RNAcentral lists this long non-coding RNA (1088 nucleotides) under Cicer arietinum (chickpea). RNAcentral describes it as "long non-coding RNA (CARI_LNC001678)". The record is from RNAcentral. Lineage: Eukaryota; Viridiplantae; Streptophyta; Magnoliopsida; Fabales; Fabaceae.
AAAAUUAAGCUAUGGAUACAUCAAUGAAAAACAUUAAUUUUUUUAUAUAAUUUAACUGAGUUAAAUUGUUCAAUUCUCAAUACAAAAUCAAUAUAAAUGUCUAAAAACACACAAAUUGUGUUCGAUUACAAUAACAAAUAAACUCAAAUAAACAAAUAAUAUUAAAUUAUUAUAUAACAAAAUCAUGAAUUUCACUCGAAAUAAAAUAAAUAAAAACAGCAUACCCACAAAUAUGGUACAAGUACCAGUACCAGUAACGGGUAACCACCAAGUAUGGGUACUUCACCAUUUUAGAAGUACUCCAUGCUUUAUAGCAUAAGAUGCAUAAGGAAUGUUUCAGCCAUUAUUUCGUAUAUAAAAUGCAAGCAAUAUCCCAAUCAUCUUCCACAUCAUUAAUUAGAACAAAAUAUAAAAUGACAAUAGGUAUUUAGCUCUACAGACAAUACCUGGAUAGAUGCUUUCCCAUUCUUUCAACAAAUAUUGAAUAAAAGUCACAAACCAAAGGUAGGUGGCAGUUCACAAUUUUAUGCUCUGAGACUAUGUAGUUCAGAUCAAGAAAUAUUGGGUAGCUGUUUUUACCAAUUUUAAGGCUGACAGAUAUGGUGACAGUUUGGUUUGAUGAAGCUGAAAUGCAUAUAUUAGUCUACGCAUAUAUCACAAUAUUUCGGAAGUCAGCGUGAUAACAGGCAAAUAGAGUAUAAUAAAGACUGAUUUAAGUUAAGACCAUUUUACUAAAAGUAACAGUAUAUAUUUAAUUAUUUAUGUAACACAUUCAUAUAAAGAAUGUUAUAUAGGAAGUUAGAGUUGAUUAUAAAGAAUACUGAUCAGUAAUUCCUUGGAUGAAUUUGUCUCAGUAGUCUUUCAUUCUUAAACUCCAAGUUCACAACACUAAAUUGAUCAUCAUCAACUCCAACUUUGCUCUGAGCAUAAACAAGAAUAGCAAUAGGAAAACAUUUUCAGCACACCAAAAGCAAUGGUAAGAAAAGCGAAACGAAGAUAAUAAAUUGAAAGGAAGAUUAACCAAUUAACAGAAUUCAAUUCCAAGACAGUAUUCAGGGUAACCAUUAAUACUGUAAUUAGAACUCCUU